AGUGCAGCAGGUAGCGCCGCAAACUUAAACAUAUCACUAGCGGCAGCAAGAGAAACCAACCGGGAGGCCCUGAGUAACGGCGAGCGAAAAGGGUCGAGUCCGACGUCGAAUCUGCCUAGAUGGACGACUUCGAAGCAGAGUUGUGACGUCGAGACGAGCGGGGGUGGCGGAGUAGCGGUCGUAAGGCCUUGGAAAAGGUCGCCGUAGAGAGCGAUCGUCUCGUAUCGAUGCGCUCCGCUUUCGCAUCGCUCGUCUCUCAACGAGUAGGUUUGCCUUGUAGCGCAAGCCGAAUGUGUUUCGGGGGAGGCCCCGAAAAGACUAAUCACAUCACGAUUCCGAUAGCGCACUAGAUCGUACCGCGAGGGAACGCUGAAAAGUACUCUGAAGAGAAGGUGAAAGAGCACGCGAAAUCGUUGCGGCGGAAGCGUACCGGCAAUCGUCAAGUUUCUUGUGGCGGCCCCGAUGUCGAGAGCCUUAGCGCUCGUGAGGCAGAGGUCCGGUGCUCUCCGAUAUUUGAGCGAGAGCACGGAGCGGUUGACAAGACAGCUCUGCCGCCAAAGAUUCGCCGGUACGGCCCGUCUUGAAACACGGACCAUGGAGAUGACAGGAUCGAGCGAGGCGCGGGUCCUCGAAAGGCCCACGCCGAAGGGAAGCCAAAUUUACGCGAGUAGGGUCAUGGCCUUCACUCAGCGGCUUCGCUGCAACUCGUAGUUGUAGUGUGACGAGUUCGAUCCGUCACACCCGAUAGGGGGUGAACUAUGCUCGAUCAGAUCGAAGCCUGGCUAACGCCCGGUGGAGGAUCGUAGCGGUUCUGAUAUGCAAUUCGAUCGCGUGAGUUGAGCAUAGGGGCGAAAGACCAAUCGAACCCCCUGGUAGCUGGUUCCUUCCGAAUGGUCUCUCAGGACUGCUGACGUACGCAAAAUCGGACUCGGUCGUCGUAGAGCAACGAAUCGGGUUACCGGGACGCAACCGUCGCCGCACCCUUCUCGAACUGCAAAGACGAUCGGCUGCGGGCCUCGUUCACUUCGAGGCUCGUCACGGACCGGAAGACGUCAAGUCGGCGCUGGCCGGUAAGCGGCUAGCGUUAUGCGGGAUCAACCGCCAGCCGGUGUGAGGUGCCACUCACCGAUCGAAUCGUGCGGCCUCGAAAAUUGAUGGCGCUUUUAUCGGUCGACCGACCGCCGGCCGCCGAGGACGACGUCUAGCUGCACUCCGCAGCAAAAGGUGCACUGUCCUCGGCGGGUAGGAAGGCGACGCGAUGAGCCUUGAAGCUCGUCCUCGAGGACGGGUGGAGCCGUCGCGUGUGCUUAUCAUGGUUGCAGUAGCUUGAACUUCGGUCGAACCCGGAGGGCCGUAGUGGAGAAGGUUUCCUGUCGAUCGGCGAACGAGACAGGGUAAGUCGCUCCCGAGCAGACGACGAAGGUCGUUAGACAGUGCCCGACAACGGGCGAGCUGCGAAAGGGAAGCCGGCGAAAAUUCCGGCACCGCGUCAAGCCGUGUUCGACGUCUCGUGGAACGUUCGCUGCCGCAAGGUUGGCGUGCGUGCCGGGCGUCGAACGUACCGACGGCAACGUGACUGGUUCGAAGACGCUCAGCACGGCAUCGGCAUCGGUUCUCUUCCGAUGUUAAGGUGACGACGCGACGGAGUCGGUUCGCCCGGAGAUGUCGCGCGCGUCGGCGAAAAGGGUGGCAAGAACUGCGACCUUCGGUAGCCGUGCUGGGCCCGUGAAAAUUCGAACGAGCGGAUUACGAGCUUGACGCGAGCGUACCCAGAACCGCAUCAGGUCUCCGAGGUGAGAAGCCUCUGGCCGAACGGCAAAAGGCGGGCUAGGGAAUUCGGCAAAAUAGAUCCGUACCUUCGGUACAAGGAUUGGCUCCGCGGGUCGCGUCUACCGGCUUGCAUCGGCGACCGACGACGUGGCGACCGUUGUCCUCCUCGGGGGAUGGCUGUUGCAACGGAGGCGGGCGAAGGUGCGAGUUGAGCGGUGCGGGUUUCGGCCUGCAUCGCUCGCCACGGUAGGCUAAAAACGAUCGACGCGGAGCUGGCACCGACACGGCUGACCGGACAGUUUAAUUAAAACGCAGCGCGUGGCUAUCCGCAAGCGGCGUGAAUCACGCGUGAGUCCUGCCCGGUGCUAUGAAUGUCAAGGUGGGGAGAUUCACCUAAGCACUAGUUAACGGCAGGAGUAACUAUGACUCUUUUAAGGUAGCAAAAUACCUUGUCGCAUAAUUGGCGACGUGCAUGAAUGGAUCAACCAGGUCAGCACUGUCCCAGUCCGGUCGCCGGCGAACCAACAGACGGGGGAACGGGCCCGUCAGACACAGCGGGGAAAGAAGACCCUGUUGAGCUUCACUUCAUCUGUCGCCUGCAGGCGGGUGCAGCGUCUGUAGUAAUAGAUGGGAGGCGUUCGUUUCGGCGUUCGCCGGUUGUGAAAGACCAUUGACGCAGUUACUCGCUCGCUAACCUGGUGAGAGGGGAAGCGCGCGUUCGGUCUUCGGGCCGACGCGCCAGAUCCAUGCAACAAAGCGACGACGCGGCGCACCUCGUGUGCUGCCGACCACGGACGUCGCGACCCGUGCCAGGGACAAGCCGCGGUGGGAAGUUUGGCUGGGGCGGUACGACCCGAAAAGUGUGGCCGGGUCGACCAUGAGUCGAUCUCAGUGUGGACGGAAACCUCACGUAGCGUUUAAGGACAAAUGAUCGUCUGAUCCGGCGCCACAGCACAGCGCCGGGGCUCGACAGAGCGGCCUAGCGAUCUCGAAACGGCGCCCGGUCUCGGUCGUUCGAGUGACGGAAAAGUUACCACAGGGAUAACUGGCUUGUGGCAGCCUAGUGGCCUAAAUGACGCUGCUUUUUGAUCCUUCGAUGUCGGCUCUUCCUAUCCAGGCAGUGCAAAAGUUGCCAAAGGUAAGACUGUUCGUCUGCUAACAGGGAACGUGAGCUGGGUUUAGACCGUCGUGAGACAGGUUAGUUUUAUCCUACUGUGAGUGGUCGUCCCGAUGGUAGGAUCGUUUAGUACGACAGGAACGACGAUUCAUUGCCUAUCGCAAUGGAGUCGGUCGAGAGACCGAUGCUCCGAAGCGACGCAAUUCGGAUAAGGACUGAUGGCCUCUAAAGUUCGAAGCCGUGCCAAGUGAGCGGACGACAGUGCGGGUAGACUGCUGCGACGUGAGUUUUCGUUUUGCCAGCCUCGCCGCCGUGCGAAAAAGGCCUCCUCUUUGGGGAGCAGCCUAGGGCAACAGGUGCCGCGUGUACCGACGAUGCUCCGUCGAAAGAUCACCAGUAAACGACUGGGGAGUCUCGGUACUGUAAGGCGUCGAGCUCUAGGGCGAGCGUCUGAGGUUUAGCCGGAGACUAUA
This 3360-nucleotide ribosomal RNA is filed under the name Marteilia refringens. RNAcentral describes it as "LSU rRNA". It matches the Rfam family "Eukaryotic large subunit ribosomal RNA". The record is from RNAcentral. Lineage: Eukaryota; Endomyxa; Ascetosporea; Paramyxida; Marteiliidae.